UACGAAGGGUGCAAGCGUUACUCGGAAUUACUGGGCGUAAAGAGUGCGUAGGCGGUUUCUCAAGUCCGCUGUGAAAUCCCCGGGCUCAACCUGGGAAUGGCAGUGGAAACUAGGAGACUUGAAUCUGGCAGAGGGGGGUGGAAUUCCACGUGUAGCAGUGAAAUGCGUAGAGAUGUGGAGGAACACCGAUGGCGAAGGCGGCAUCCUGGACCGGGCGAUUGACCGCCUGUAGGAGCGAAAGCCAG
Molecule: ribosomal RNA, 245 nt
Filed under: uncultured bacterium
Lineage: Bacteria
Description: partial 16S ribosomal RNA
Rfam family: Bacterial small subunit ribosomal RNA
Source: RNAcentral